GGCCAAGUCAGCCCAUGACCAGAGCCCACGUGUGGCAGAUCUAUUCAUGGCUGCAUUGGCUGCUGCCUGCAGCGUUCCUUUGGAGAGGAACAGCUGUCGGGAAGCCAAGCAGCAGGUCGCUCAGCAGGUAGCUGAAAAGCUUGUGAAGGAAGAGAGCCGACAGCUUGGGAGGCUGCUGGGGAGGCUGGAGCAGCCGUGCUGCUCCUUGAACGUGCUGAAGAUCCUCUAUGCUGGCUGCCAUGUCAGCCUGAGCCUGUGCCAGCACCUGGGAAGAAGCCAACGACUGUGGGGUUCCCUCAUGCAGCUCUCAAAGGGCGAGGUAGGACUAACCACAGCACCAGUGGUAGGGUAGGAGUGUGGGCAAGCAGUACACAUUCC
RNAcentral lists this long non-coding RNA (378 nucleotides) under Strigops habroptila (Kakapo). Its description in RNAcentral is "lncRNA (ENSSHBG00005012326.1)". Lineage: Eukaryota; Metazoa; Chordata; Aves; Psittaciformes; Psittacidae. The record is from RNAcentral.